This is a long non-coding RNA of Larimichthys crocea (large yellow croaker), 704 nucleotides long. RefSeq lists it as uncharacterized. Lineage: Eukaryota; Metazoa; Chordata; Actinopteri; Sciaenidae. The record is from RefSeq and is a predicted model, not a curated record. The transcript is spliced from 3 exons.
UGGCUGUAGUGAAUAAACACCUGCGUAGACUGUGAGCUUUGAUAAAGUGACUUGAGGCCGAGGGUCAUCUAUAUCCGCCUUAGAUAGCAGAGUUGCAUCAUUAUAGACCCACAGCACAGUUUUCCAUCACAACUCUGUCCCUCAGUGCUACUCCUUUUCUCCUACUAUCUGUCUUGUUGCUCCUCUUUAUAGGAGACGAGAAGAGAGGAGAAAAGGCACCAUCAGUCUUCUCCAGCAUCUGCUCUUGAUCACACGGCGCUGGCAGAAAUGGAGUCUGCGGACUCUGUUGAGUGUUUACGAAGUGGUCUCUAGAUUCACUGCCAAAAGGUUCACAGGGCUAUGCCAAUAAAUAUGACUGAGCAUUAAUGAAUGCUGUCCCAGUCAAACAACAGAGGAGGGGAGCUUCCAUGAGUGUCGCCCACUUCCAAUUUGCCACUGAAUAAGUUGUUGUAUUAACAAAGUAUGAUGAAUGCACAACUGUUUAAAUAUUCAUGUCCGACAUAAUAUGCUCUAUUACUCUAUCCCUCUGUGCUGGUACAUGCACAGCUCUGCUGUACCGAGCCAGGACUGAGAUGGAGAGUUCACAGAACUGCACAGAAAAAAAUGAACAUUUCUUUAUCCGUUGGGGAUGGUAAUAAUCUAAGAUUUACAUGUCUUGUCGUAUGUGUACUUUGCAGUUUAAUGCAGAAAUAAAUUUGCCUAAG